GACGAACGCUGGCGGCGUGCCUAAUACAUGCAAGUUGAGCGCUGAAGGUUGGUACUUGUACCAACUGGGUGAGCAGCGAACGGGUGAGUAACGCGUGGGGAAUCUGCCUUUGAGCGGGGGACAACAUUUGGAAACGAAUGCUAAUACCGCAUAAAAACUUUAAACACAAGUUUUAAGUUUGAAAGAUGCAAUUGCAUCACUCAAAGAUGAUCCCGCGUUGUAUUAGCUAGUUGGUGAGGUAAAGGCUCACCAAGGCGAUGAUACAUAGCCGACCUGAGAGGGGGAGCGGCCACAUUGGGACUGAGACACGGCCCAAACUCCUACGGGAGACAGCAGUAGGGAAUCUUCGGCGAUGGACGAAAGUCUGACCGAGCAACGCCGCGUGAGUGAAGAAGGUUGUCGGAUCGUAAAACUCUGUUGGUAGAGAAGAACGUUGGUGAGAGUGGAAAGCUCAUCAAGUGACGGUAACUACCCAGAAAGGGACGGCUAACUACGUG
RNAcentral lists this ribosomal RNA (497 nucleotides) under uncultured bacterium. RNAcentral's name for it is "partial 16S ribosomal RNA". It matches the Rfam family "Bacterial small subunit ribosomal RNA", at positions 28 to 507 of the family's 1533-position model. The record is from RNAcentral.